CUAGCAUUUGUGCAAGUUCUCAGGUGUCAAACCUCUGUGCGCAAUGAAGGUGACUGCUGGGAUUUUUUGCACCAGCAACCGACCAAUCAAUUGGGAGAAAUUUGAGUAAGAGCAUAUGUAUUAGGACCCGAAAAAUGGUGAACUAUACCUACGAAGGGCAAAGUCAAGAGAAACUCUAAUGGAGACUCGUAGCGGUACUAACGUACAAAUCGUUCGUCAUACGUGGGUAUAGGGGCGAAAAACUAAUCGAACCAUCUAGUAGCUAG
This 266-nucleotide non-coding RNA is filed under the name Symbiodinium microadriaticum. RNAcentral's name for it is "Eukaryotic large subunit ribosomal RNA". It matches the Rfam family "Eukaryotic large subunit ribosomal RNA", at positions 675 to 954 of the family's 3401-position model. The record is from Rfam by way of RNAcentral. Lineage: Eukaryota; Dinophyceae; Suessiales; Symbiodiniaceae.